Molecule: long non-coding RNA, 1854 nt
Filed under: Chloebia gouldiae (Gouldian finch)
Lineage: Eukaryota; Metazoa; Chordata; Aves; Passeriformes; Passeridae
Description: Erythrura gouldiae (Gouldian finch) lncRNA (ENSEGOG00005019295.1)
Source: RNAcentral
UGGAAGGUAGCUGGUCCGGCGGCUCCGAGAAACCGCUUGCUUGCCUUUUAGAGAUUCGCUUUCCAGCUCCAGGACAGGGAAAGGACUAGCGUUUCCCACCGCUCCUGCCUUCCCCUGAGCCACCGUGCCCCGAGAAAUGCCGAUGCGGAACUCGCCAGCCAGGGUCGAGCUGGCGCCGGCCUCCUCGGGAGCGACCUCAGCCUGCUCCAUCCAUCCCCUCGGGCUGCCUGGGCCCCCAGCAGCACCUCCCAGAGGCGGCCGCGGAGGUCGGGCUCCCUCUGGGCCGCAGCAGGUGAAUGGCAAGCGCCGGCGUCUCCCUCCCACACCCCAGCGUCGGUCUCGCCUCCUCCAGCAGCAGCAGUAGAGGGUCACCUCUGCGCGGCUGAGCUGAGCCGAGCCGCGCCGCGCAGCCUGCUGGCCGCAGGGCUCCCCGAGAGGCGGCUGGAAGCUACUCUCGUUACCUGCGGGGCCACCGCCCGCUUGCGGUGACAUUGGGAGGGGACUCCUGAGGGCGGCGCCGGGGCAGGAGCGCCCGUAGCCAGAGCCAGUAGCACCUCUCCCUGGCGGCGGGGAGCAGGGCGGGGAGCGGAGCGGCGGGCGGGCUCGACUCCGGCUGCUCAGCUCUUCAUUUCCUCUCGCCGUCCGUCGCGCUAUUGGAGGCUCCAGACUAUAAAUAGCAGCUCGCGCGCCACCGAGCGCCUCCCGUACACAGAAGGGGAAGGUGCCGCGUCGGCCGCCCCGCCGCCGGACAGGCCUACUAGCAGCUCCCACAGAUAGGCCGUUCCACAAUCCUUCUCACAGGCUCCAGCUGAUGGAACUGCUACAUCUGAGGGACUCCAACCACCAUCUGAUUUCGGUGUCCCCCAAGGGUUCAGGUACCUGGAGCCGGCUGCGAUCCUCAGCCCGAGACCCCAAGCGGGACGCCAUGAACAUCCUAUGCAUCCUUGUCCUGUGGUGCCUCACCGUCCCCAGCUACUCCUGGAAAAAGGAGACUGGGGACUGGUUCAGUGACUUGUUUGGCACCUGGGGCAUCUCGGGUUGGGUUUAUUCUAUUAUCCGGUCUGGAUUGUUAAUUUUGUUUAUCCUUGUUCUAGCCCCCGUUAUGUUCGGAAUUCUGAGGCGGGUGGUGUCCAACCUCAUUGAAAAGGCACUAAACAUCCAUACGGUGAACCCGGCUGUCAUCGUCUCUGCCCAGGAGUCAGAUGACGAAGAAGAAGAGCAGGAGGAAGAAGAACUAGAAGACCAGAAGACCGACCCUGGGCAGAGACAGCUCCCACCUGUCAGCCGUGGUUCGGGGACACCUACCCGAACUCAGAAUUCCUCCCCCGGACCGAGUUUAAUUCCUUUUGAUAAGAGACUUUUGUUUCAUUCAGUUUUGUUUAAUAUACAAAAGGGGGAGUUGUUGUGGUGUAUUUUAAGUUUCCCUCUAUUAUGGUUUCUCCCACUCCCCCUAUAUGGGUCCUAUGGUCUGUCCCUCCUUCCCCUCCUUCCCCUCCUACCUGUCAAUCACCCAGGUUAUGUAACCCUCAACGGUCACCCCUCACCCCAGGGCCUGUCUGUCAUCUGAGGCCUCUCCCCUCCAUCCAGAAGCUUCCACCAGAGGCCUCAGGUGAUAGGCUGGUCCCUGGGGGCUCCUCCCUCCUCCUCUCCCUAUUGGAUGUUCCCCAUGAUUGACACCGCAGCUACCACUCCCUCCUUGUACCCCUUUGGUCCAUUGUUGUUCCCUCCCCUGGUUACUGCCCCAGUAUAAAAAGGCGCGCACACCAGUGCUCCCCGCCUUUUGGGGCAGAUUCUUCUUUGGCGCUGUUGUACCCCGCGCGGAGCUACAAUAAAACCGGACUGCAGUCUGCCUCA